RNAcentral lists this long non-coding RNA (565 nucleotides) under Zostera marina. RNAcentral describes it as "long non-coding RNA (ZMAR_LNC001673)". Lineage: Eukaryota; Viridiplantae; Streptophyta; Magnoliopsida; Alismatales; Zosteraceae. The record is from RNAcentral.
CGCCACCACACUCCGCGCUUUUCCGACAAACAUCGGAGGAUCCGUGUUCGGUUUGAAGGCCGGAGGACGAGGUCGCGUAACUGCCAUGGCGACGACCUACAAAGUGACUCUGAAAACUCCCGAUGGACCCGUCGAGAUGGAAUGUCCCGAUGAUGUCUACCUUCUCGACUACUUCGAGGAAAAAGGAAUCGAUCUACCGUACUCUUGCCGUGCCGGAUCUUGCUCGUCUUGCGCAGGGAAGGUUUUGUCUGGUGAGAUUGAUCAAUCCGAUGGAAGCUUCCUCGACGAUGAUCAAGAGCAGGAAGGCUGGGUGCUCACCUGCGUCGCCUUCCCUAGGUCCGAUUGUGUUAUUAAGACCCACAUGGAGAAUGAAAUGGAUGACUAAUUUAGUACCGUCCGUCGUCACCAGAGGAAACCUCUGUUCCGUCCUUUGUGUUAUUAAUUAAUAUCCUUUUCUAUUUAAUGUCUUUUUAAUUCGUGUAUGUUUAUUUUCAUUUCAUUAAACAAUGUUUUUAUAAAGUUACUGAGGGUCGGUCUAAGAUUUUAAUAUCUUUAUUUACUUAAU